Molecule: ribosomal RNA, 468 nt
Filed under: uncultured bacterium
Lineage: Bacteria
Description: partial 16S ribosomal RNA
Rfam family: Bacterial small subunit ribosomal RNA
Source: RNAcentral
GACGAACGCUGGCGGCGUGCUUAACACAUGCAAGUCGAACGGAAAGGCCCUGCUUUUGUGGGGUGCUCGAGUGGCGAACGGGUGAGUAACACGUGAGUAACCUGCCCUUGACUUUGGGAUAACUUCAGGAAACUGGGGCUAAUACCGGAUAGGAGCUCCUGCUGCAUGGUGGGGGUUGGAAAGUUUCGGCGGUUGGGGAUGGACUCGCGGCUUACCAGCUUGUUGGUGGGGGAGUGGCUUACCCAGGCUUUGACGGGUAGCCGGCCUGAGAGGGUGACCGGCCACAUUGGGACUGAGAUACGGCCCAGAGUGCUACGGGGGGCAGCGGUGGGGAGUAUUGCACAGUGGGCGGGAGCCUGAUGCAGCGGCGCCGCGUGCGGGAUGACGGCCUUCGGGGUGUGAACCGCUUUCGCCUGUGACGAAGCGUGAGUGACGGUAAUGGGUGAAGAAGCACCGGCUAACUACGUG